UACGUAGGGUGCAAGCGUUGUCCGGAAUUAUUGGGCGUAAAGCGCUCACAGGUGGACAAGCAGGUCUGGUGUUAAAUACCCACGGCUCAACCGGGGUGCUGCAUUGGAAACCGCUUGACUAGAGGAAGGCAAAGGCAGGUGGAAUUUCCAUUGUAGGGGUUAAAUCCGUAGAUAAUGGAAGGAACACCAAAAGCGAAGGCAGCCUGCUGGGACUUUCCUGACACUGCUUGAUCGAAAGCGUGGGGAGCGAAAGGG
RNAcentral lists this ribosomal RNA (255 nucleotides) under uncultured bacterium. RNAcentral's name for it is "partial 16S ribosomal RNA". It matches the Rfam family "Bacterial small subunit ribosomal RNA", at positions 524 to 776 of the family's 1533-position model. The record is from RNAcentral.